AGGUUUCAUUCAUGUCUAGUAUAAGCAUUAUACCGUGAAACUGCGAAUGGCUCAUUAAAUCAGUUAUCGUUUAUUUGAUAAUACCUUACUACUUGGAUAACCGUGGUAAUUCUAGAGCUAAUACAUGCUGAAAAUCCCGACUUCGGAAGGGAUGUGUUUAUUAGAUAAAAAACCAAUGCCCUUCGGGGCUUUUUGGUGAUUCAUGAUAACUUUACGGAUCGCAUAGCCUUGCGCUGGCGACGGUUCAUUCAAAUUUCUGCCCUAUCAACUUUCGAUGGUAAGGUAUUGGCUUACCAUGGUUUCAACGGGUAACGGGGAAUUAGGGUUCGAUUCCGGAGAGGGAGCCUGAGAAACGGCUACCACAUCCAAGGAAGGCAGCAGGCGCGCAAAUUACCCAAUCCCGACACGGGGAGGUAGUGACAAUAAAUACUGAUACAGGGCUCUUUUGGGUCUUGUAAUUGGAAUGAGUACAAUUUAAACCUCUUAACGAGGAACAAUUGGAGGGCAAGUCUGGUGCCAGCAGCCGCGGUAAUUCCAGCUCCAAUAGCGUAUAUUAAAGUUGUUGCAGUUAAAAAGCUCGUAGUUGAAACUUGGGCCUGGCUGGCGGGUCCGCCUCACCGCGUGCACUCGUCCGGCCGGGCCUUCCUUCUGAAGAACCUCAUGCCCUUCACUGGGCGUGCUGGGGAAUCAGGACUUUUACUUUGAAAAAAUUAGAGUGUUCAAAGCAGGCCUUUGCUCGAAUACGUUAGCAUGGAAUAAUAAAAUAGGGCGUGCGUUUCUAUUUUGUUGGUUUCUAGAGACGCCGCAAUGAUUAACAGGAACAGUCGGGGGCAUCAGUAUUCAGUUGUCAGAGGUGAAAUUCUUGGAUUUACUGAAGACUAACUACUGCGAAAGCAUUUGCCAAGGAUGUUUUCAUUAAUCAGUGAACGAAAGUUAGGGGAUCGAAGACGAUCAGAUACCGUCGUAGUCUUAACCGUAAACUAUGCCCAACUAGGGAUCGGGCGAUGUUCUUUUUUCUGACUCGCUCGGCACCUUACGAAAAAUCAAAGUUUUUGGGUUCUGGGGGGGAUUAUGGUCGCAAGGCUUAAAACUUAAAGAAAUUUGACGGAAGGGCACCACCCAGGCCUUG
RNAcentral lists this ribosomal RNA (1129 nucleotides) under Alternaria alternata. Its description in RNAcentral is "SSU rRNA". It matches the Rfam family "Eukaryotic small subunit ribosomal RNA", at positions 46 to 1179 of the family's 1831-position model. Lineage: Eukaryota; Fungi; Ascomycota; Dothideomycetes; Pleosporales; Pleosporaceae. The record is from RNAcentral.